AUUGAACGCUGGCGGCAGGCCUAACACAUGCAAGUCGAGCGGACGAAGGGAGCUUGCUCCUGGAUUCAGCGGCGGACGGGCGAGUAAUGCCUAGGAAUCUGCCCGGUAGUGGGGGAUAACGUCCGGAAACGGGCGCUAAUACCGCAUACGUCCUGAGGGAGAAAGUGGGGGAUCUUCGGACCUAACGCUAUUAGAUGAGCCUAGGUCGGAUUAGCUAGUUGGUGGGGUAAAGGCCUACCAAGGCGACGAUCCGUAACUGGUCUGAGAGGAUGAUCAGUCACACUGGAACUGAGACACGGUCCAGACUCCUACGGGAGGCAGCAGUGGGGAAUAUUGCACAAUGGGCGAAAGCCUGAUCCAGCCAUGCCGCGUGUGUGAUGAAGGUCUUCGGAUUGUAAAACACUUUAAGUUGGGAAGAAGAGCUGUAAAUUUAUACCUUGCUGUUUUGACGUUACCUACAGAGUAAGCCCCGGCUAACUUCGUG
RNAcentral lists this ribosomal RNA (484 nucleotides) under uncultured bacterium. Its description in RNAcentral is "partial 16S ribosomal RNA". It matches the Rfam family "Bacterial small subunit ribosomal RNA", at positions 30 to 507 of the family's 1533-position model. The record is from RNAcentral.